GGCGACGUAGCCAAGCGGUAAGGCGGAGCUCUGCAAAAGCUUUAUGCCCCAGUUCAAAUCUGGGCGUCGCCUCCA
This 75-nucleotide transfer RNA is filed under the name Eubacteriales Family XIII. Incertae Sedis bacterium. RNAcentral describes it as "tRNA-Cys". It matches the Rfam family "tRNA". From Rfam's summary of the family: Transfer RNA (tRNA) molecules are approximately 80 nucleotides in length. Their secondary structure includes four short double-helical elements and three loops (D, anti-codon, and T loops). Lineage: Bacteria; Bacillati; Bacillota; Clostridia; Peptostreptococcales; Anaerovoracaceae. The record is from RNAcentral.